UUAAGCGACUAAGCGUACACGGUGGAUGCCCUGGCAGUCAGAGGCGAUGAAGGACGUGCUAAUCUGCGAUAAGCGUCGGUGAGGUGAUAUGAACCGUUAUAACCGGCGAUUUCCGAAUGGGGAAACCCAGUGUGUUUCGACACACUAUCAUUAACUGAAUCCAUAGGUUAAUGAGGCGAACCGGGGGAACUGAAACAUCUAAGUACCCCGAGGAAAAGAAAUCAACCGAGAUUCCCCCAGUAGCGGCGAGCGAACGGGGAGGAGCCCAGAGCCUGAAUCAGUGUGUGUGUUAGUGGAAGCGUCUGGAAAGGCGCGCGAUACAGGGUGACAGCCCCGUACACAAAAAUGCACAUAUUGUGAGCUCGAUGAGUAGGGCGGGACACGUGGUAUCCUGUCUGAAUAUGGGGGGACCAUCCUCCAAGGCUAAAUACUCCUGACUGACCGAUAGUGAACCAGUACCGUGAGGGAAAGGCGAAAAGAACCCCGGCGAGGGGAGUGAAAAAGAACCUGAAACCGUGUACGUACAAGCAGUGGGAGCCUCUUAAUGGGGUGACUGCGUACCUUUUGUAUAAUGGGUCAGCGACUUAUAUUCUGUAGCAAGGUUAACCGAAUAGGGGAGCCGAAGGGAAACCGAGUCUUAACUGGGCGUUAAGUUGCAGGGUAUAGACCCGAAACCCGGUGAUCUAGCCAUGGGCAGGUUGAAGGUUGGGUAACACUAACUGGAGGACCGAACCGACUAAUGUUGAAAAAUUAGCGGAUGACUUGUGGCUGGGGGUGAAAGGCCAAUCAAACCGGGAGAUAGCUGGUUCUCCCCGAAAGCUAUUUAGGUAGCGCCUCGUGAAUUCAUCUCCGGGGGUAGAGCACUGUUUCGGCAAGGGGGUCAUCCCGACUUACCAACCCGAUGCAAACUGCGAAUACCGGAGAAUGUUAUCACGGGAGACACACGGCGGGUGCUAACGUCCGUCGUGAAGAGGGAAACAACCCAGACCGCCAGCUAAGGUCCCAAAGUCAUGGUUAAGUGGGAAACGAUGUGGGAAGGCCCAGACAGCCAGGAUGUUGGCUUAGAAGCAGCCAUCAUUUAAAGAAAGCGUAAUAGCUCACUGGUCGAGUCGGCCUGCGCGGAAGAUGUAACGGGGCUAAACCAUGCACCGAAGCUGCGGCAGCGACACUAUGUGUUGUUGGGUAGGGGAGCGUUCUGUAAGCCUGUGAAGGUGGCCUGUGAGGGUUGCUGGAGGUAUCAGAAGUGCGAAUGCUGACAUAAGUAACGAUAAAGCGGGUGAAAAGCCCGCUCGCCGGAAGACCAAGGGUUCCUGUCCAACGUUAAUCGGGGCAGGGUGAGUCGACCCCUAAGGCGAGGCCGAAAGGCGUAGUCGAUGGGAAACAGGUUAAUAUUCCUGUACUUGGUGUUACUGCGAAGGGGGGACGGAGAAGGCUAUGUUGGCCGGGCGACGGUUGUCCCGGUUUAAGCGUGUAGGCUGGUUUUCCAGGCAAAUCCGGAAAAUCAAGGCUGAGGCGUGAUGACGAGGCACUACGGUGCUGAAGCGACAAAUGCCCUGCUUCCAGGAAAAGCCUCUAAGCAUCAGGUAACAUCAAAUCGUACCCCAAACCGACACAGGUGGUCAGGUAGAGAAUACCAAGGCGCUUGAGAGAACUCGGGUGAAGGAACUAGGCAAAAUGGUGCCGUAACUUCGGGAGAAGGCACGCUGAUAUGUAGGUGAAGCGACUUGCUCGUGGAGCUGAAAUCAGUCGAAGAUACCAGCUGGCUGCAACUGUUUAUUAAAAACACAGCACUGUGCAAACACGAAAGUGGACGUAUACGGUGUGACGCCUGCCCGGUGCCGGAAGGUUAAUUGAUGGGGUUAGCGGUAACGCGAAGCUCUUGAUCGAAGCCCCGGUAAACGGCGGCCGUAACUAUAACGGUCCUAAGGUAGCGAAAUUCCUUGUCGGGUAAGUUCCGACCUGCACGAAUGGCGUAAUGAUGGCCAGGCUGUCUCCACCCGAGACUCAGUGAAAUUGAACUCGCUGUGAAGAUGCAGUGUACCCGCGGCAAGACGGAAAGACCCCGUGAACCUUUACUAUAGCUUGACACUGAACAUUGAGCCUUGAUGUGUAGGAUAGGUGGGAGGCUUUGAAGUGUGGACGCCAGUCUGCAUGGAGCCGACCUUGAAAUACCACCCUUUAAUGUUUGAUGUUCUAACGUGGGCCCCUUACCGGGGUUGCGGACAGUGUCUGGUGGGUAGUUUGACUGGGGCGGUCUCCUCCUAAAGAGUAACGGAGGAGCACGAAGGUUGGCUAAUCCUGGUCGGACAUCAGGAGGUUAGUGCAAUGGCAUAAGCCAGCUUGACUGCGAGCGUGACGGCGCGAGCAGGUGCGAAAGCAGGUCAUAGUGAUCCGGUGGUUCUGAAUGGAAGGGCCAUCGCUCAACGGAUAAAAGGUACUCCGGGGAUAACAGGCUGAUACCGCCCAAGAGUUCAUAUCGACGGCGGUGUUUGGCACCUCGAUGUCGGCUCAUCACAUCCUGGGGCUGAAGUAGGUCCCAAGGGUAUGGCUGUUCGCCAUUUAAAGUGGUACGCGAGCUGGGUUUAGAACGUCGUGAGACAGUUCGGUCCCUAUCUGCCGUGGGCGCUGGAGAACUGAGGGGGGCUGCUCCUAGUACGAGAGGACCGGAGUGGACGCAUCACUGGUGUUCGGGUUGUCAUGCCAAUGGCACUGCCCGGUAGCUAAAUGCGGAAGAGAUAAGUGCUGAAAGCAUCUAAGCACGAAACUUGCCCCGAGAUGAGUUCUCCCUGACUCCUUGAGAGUCCUGAAGGAACGUUGAAGACGACGACGUUGAUA
RNAcentral lists this ribosomal RNA (2835 nucleotides) under Escherichia coli. Its description in RNAcentral is "23S ribosomal RNA". It matches the Rfam family "Bacterial large subunit ribosomal RNA". Lineage: Bacteria; Pseudomonadati; Pseudomonadota; Gammaproteobacteria; Enterobacterales; Enterobacteriaceae. The record is from RNAcentral.